This 253-nucleotide ribosomal RNA is filed under the name uncultured bacterium. Its description in RNAcentral is "partial 16S ribosomal RNA". It matches the Rfam family "Bacterial small subunit ribosomal RNA", at positions 524 to 776 of the family's 1533-position model. The record is from RNAcentral.
UACGUAGGGUGCAAGCGUUAAUCGGAAUUACUGGGCGUAAAGCGUGCGCAGGCGGUUUCGUAAGUCUGUCGUGAAAUCCCCGGGCUUAACCUGGGAAUGGCGAUGGAGACUGCGAGGCUAGAGUUUGGCAGAGGGGGGUAGAAUUCCACGUGUAGCAGUGAAAUGCGUAGAGAUCUGGAAGAACACCAAAGGCGAAGGCAGCGUCCUGGGGAGGAACUGACGCUGAGGCGCGAAAGCCAGGGGAGCGAACGGG